GACGAACGCUGGCGGCGUGCUUAACACAUGCAAGUCGAACGAUGAACCAGGGCUUGCCCUGGGAAUUAGUGGCGAACGGGUGAGUAACACGUGGGCAACCUGCCCCCAGACACCGGGAUAACCAUCCGAAAGGAUGGCUAAUACCGGAUAUGACCACUUUGGGCAUCCAACGGUGGUGGAAAGGAUUCUGGUCUGGGAUGGGCCCGCGGCCUAUCAGCUAGUUGGUGGGGUAAUAGCCUACCAAGGCGACGACGGGUAGCCGGCCUGAGAGGGCGACCGGCCACACUGGGACUGAGGACACGGCCCAGACUCCUACGGGAGGCAGCAGUGGGGAA
Molecule: ribosomal RNA, 335 nt
Filed under: uncultured bacterium
Lineage: Bacteria
Description: bacterial SSU rRNA
Rfam family: Bacterial small subunit ribosomal RNA
Source: RNAcentral